AUCUUUAAUUUAAUAUUUAAAUAAAUAAUAUUUAGAUAUAUUGUAUAACUUAAAUUUGUCCCCUGCUUUACAAUAUAUAUACAUACCCGCUCGAUUUUUUCAUAUGAGGCUGACCCGCCUAAUUAAUAAAUCUUCAAUAUUGCUCUUUUUCCGCAAUGACAAAAGAAAUUAGAUGUCAUUUUCAUCUUUGAGACGAAAAUAAUGAAAAAAUAAUAGUGAAGAGUCAUUUAAAGGUCAUCUUUGUACAGUUUUGAAUAGUUAAAGGUCAUAUUUGUGCACUGUCAAAGUGUAAGGUCAUAUUUAUGUAUUAUGCCCUUAGAUUUUAAGCUGGAAGCACCCAGUUUUGCGUGUUGAGCACGCAUUUUACCACGUAGGAUUGGAGGUCAUAUUUGUGCAGUUUUGAAUAGUUAAAGGUCAUAUUUGUGCACUGUCAAAGUUAUAAUUUGAUGUCAAGUUUAAGAUCAUUUUUAUGUAUUAACUCUUUAAAAUAUGUGUUUGAUAUUAGUGUUCUUCUUUUAGCGUUGUUUUAUUUCAUAGUCUUUUUGUAUGCAAUUUAUGAUGGUCUGUUUUCUGGAUCUAAUAAGUGCACAUUUCCUAUACUAAAGGGAGGGAGCCAUGGGGUCAUUAUCCAAAGCAGGCAUGUUGGAUUAUUCAAAGCAUUUUCAAAGCCGAGAGAUGUAUUGAAGCAGUUAGACUAACGCCUGUUGAGUUUACUAACACAUCCACCUUCUCCAUAAAGGCUAUGUACAAAGCACUGUUAGAGGGGCAUACUAAAGUGGCUUGGCGUAGACUGAUUUGUAACAACGUGGCUUUUCUCGCAGCACAUAAGAGACUCUACACUAAAGACCGGUUGAUUAAAUAGAAGAUGCAAGUUGACCCCAUAUGUCCCUUGUGUGAACAAGUACCCGAAACUAUUAAUCACUUAUUCUUCAAGUGUAAGGUUUCAGCAGAGGUCUGGGGGAGGAUAUUACGGUGGCAAGGAUUACAGCGGCAACCAGUGGCGGAUCCACCUUGUAAUCAGGGUUUAUUCGAACCCCCUUCGAUGGAAAAUUAUACAUUUUUUAUACUAUUUUACACGGUCAAAAAUAUUUUUAUGUAUAUAUUGUAGAUGUUGAACUCCCUUCGACUGGUUCGUAUGUUUACUUCUGAACCCCUUGAUGAGAAUCCUGACUCUUCCAGUGGCGGCAACUCGAGGAGUGGCAAGGGGAACUAAUAUGGUGCACCUCCAAGCACAAUAGUAAGAAUAGCACUGAUCUUCUAUAUAGAACUACCCUGGUAGCUGCAAUUUAUUACGUAUGGAGGGAAAGGAACCAGGUAGUUUUUCAGCACAAGAGGAGUUGAGGGGAUGCUACAGUGAGGUUGAUCAUCCAAACCAUAUUCACCAGGACAACACCCACAAGCAAAAUGCAGGGAAAGCUAGCAAAAUUAAAUUGGUACCCGUAGUUAAGUCAUUAGCUGAUAUGUUUCGGUAGUGAUUUAGAUUUAAAGGCAGUAGCUGGGAUGUUUCCAACUAUGCCUAGACAGUUUAUAUGUCGUUUGCUUUGUAAUUUCUACUUUGGUGAUAAAUAAAAUGUUUAUUUACCAAAAAAAAAAAUUAUUAGGACUUUACAAAACACAUUCAUAGACAUUUAGAUAUUCUAAUUUAUUUAUUAUUUUUUAAUUUUACUUGUAAAUUUAUAUUUAUUUAUAAUUUUUUUUAGUGAUUUUGGGUGUUAUUUAGUUUCAUAAUAUAGAGAAAGAAAAUAACAAACACGAAAAUAAAUCAUAGCCUAAAAAGGUACAUUUUUAAUAUAAUAUCUUGGAGUAUAAUUAACAUGAUGUACGCAGAUUACAUAGUUAUCUUUAUAUGUAUGUAUGUAUGUAUGCAUGCAUGUAUGUAUGUAUGUAUAUAUAUAUAUAUAUAUAUAUGUAUAUAUACAUACAUAAUAAAUUUUUUAUUUUACUUUUUUCCUUUAAAUUCAUAUUCAAGAAAUUCUUUUACCUUAUUGAAAUCCUUAUAACUCUUGGGACAAAGUCAAUAAAUUUUUUGAAAUUGAAUAAAAAGGAAGAAAUUAAAAUAUGAGAUAAAAGUUUAUUUGAUAGAGGUGAAAGUAUUUAAUUAAAAUUUUAAAUCAUAAUCAUAUCUAACAUAUUAGACUAUAUUAGAGUCUUCUAAUCUGUAUUUCAUUUUAUCAUUUCUGUUAUGCAUGAAAAACUUUAUCAAUUUAAUAUCAAGUUGUGGAAAAAAUUUAUUUUAAAAUGUAAGUAAAUAAAUACUUAAGCAAUAUCUUUAUUUAUAUAUUUUAUAUUAAUAUGAAAUUAUAGUGUAAAAUAAAAUAUAAAUAGAUAAAUCUAAACAAUGGAAAAAUCCUGGACAAUGAAACAAAAGUUAGAAAUAAAAUUUUCAAAAUGUUUUUUUUAACUAUAAUGAGUAAAAUCUUAUAUUUUAAUGAAUUUAUGAGUUUGCUUUUUCCUUUAAAAUUAAUAUUCAAGAAAUGCCACAUACAUUAUGAAAUUCCUUUUAAUUCUUAGGAAAAGUUAAUAAUAUUUUUGAAUUUGAGUAAAAAAGAUUAAAACUAAAUAUUGAGAUAAAGUUAUAUUUUUGAUAGAUGUGAAAGUGUAACUAAUUUUAAUUGAAGACAAAAUCUAGUAAAGUAGAAUAAUUUGGAGUCCUCUUCUAAUAUUUUUUUUUGUUAUGCAUAAAAAAAGUAUCUAUUUUAAUUUUUAUAUUUUGAGAUAAUAGAUAAGAAAAUUCAAUUGCUUAUGCGUGUAAUACAACAAAAUAAUUUUAAAAUAUACCUCAAGUGGGGUGGGGUUGGGAGGUGUUGUAGAUCUAAAUCAUGAAUAAUAUAAUAAAUAAAAAUAUGAUAAAUAACUUUUUUUACAAGUAAUGAUUAUUUUUAUAUAGGUUUUUUUAGAAGUAAGGUGAUUGGGGUGGGGGUGGAAGCAUUGGGGAGGGGGGUUUCAGAUUUUUUUUAUUUUUUAUUUUUAAAUUGAGGGUGGGGUGGAGGAUGGAUAUGGCCGUGGAGGUGGUGGGGGCGUAGUGUUUUUUUCAUAUUUCAUUGAUAAAUAAUAUGAUAUGAACUUUUUUUCUAAAGAUUAUAUGGUUUAACAUGUUGAACAAAGUCAUUUCAAUAUGAAAUUGUUAAAAAUAAUAUAUUAAUAUUAUACGCGCAUCGCGCAGGUACAUAAACAAGUAUAUAUAUAUAUAUAUAUAUAUAUAUAUAUAUAUAUAUAUAUAUAUAUAUCAACAACAACAACAACAACAGCAACAACAACGAGAACCAAAUCGCUUCAAUGAUACUACAGGACCCUUUACGCGUUUUCAUAACCUUAAUAGUAAUAUUUUUGGUUCAUUAUGAGUCCACACAUAGUCUUAAAUGCCAUUCUUGGCGUCAAUAGGCCUUCUAACAGGACUUCCAGUUAUAGCCUGAAUCGGAACUAUUACUACAGGAUCAUGAUGUGCAACCUUAGUAUCAUUGGUUGAUAAGAUUCUUAUUAUGUAUUUAGUGUCAUAUUCUAUUAAUAGCUUAAGUAUGUUAUAGUUCAUCACAAAAUAUUUAGCCUAUCAUUUAGAAUAAUUUUAAAGUAAAGACAAUAAAUAAAUAAUACUCCCUCCGUCUCAAAUUACACGUCAAAUUGAGAUGACACAUUAAUUAAGAAAAAUAAUUAAUAACAUGACUAGUUUACCAUAGUAUCCCUAUUAAAUGAUGUUUACAUUUUAAUUUGAAAAAAAAAUAAUUAAUGUAAAGGGUAAAACAUGGAAUUUUUUUUUGCCUCUUCUUGAUUAAUGAAAAAAGACAAGUAAAAUGAGAAAUCAAAUUAGAAAAUUUAGAACGGAUAAUUUGAGACGGAGGGAGUAGAAACUUAAAGUACCUUAAAAUAAAAGAGCUUGAUCAAUGCCUUUUGGGAUUUAAACAAACUUUUAUUACUGGAUGAAUAUAUUAAAAUGAGAGCAAAAGAGUAAAGAGAGGUGAUUUCUCAAAACCUGCCUCUCAAUACAAAAAUUGAGAUCCUUUUAUAGAGGAUUCUCCUUACUAAAUG
Molecule: long non-coding RNA, 4023 nt
Filed under: Capsicum annuum
Lineage: Eukaryota; Viridiplantae; Streptophyta; Magnoliopsida; Solanales; Solanaceae
Description: long non-coding RNA (CANN_LNC009832)
Source: RNAcentral